Long non-coding RNA from Clarias gariepinus (North African catfish), 449 nucleotides. RefSeq lists it as uncharacterized. The record is from RefSeq and is a predicted model, not a curated record. The transcript is spliced from 4 exons. NCBI's taxonomy places the organism in Eukaryota, Metazoa, Chordata, Actinopteri, Siluriformes, Clariidae.
GUGACUCUGACAGAGAACAGGUGUGUUUUGAAGAGCGAACAGAUCCAGCACAAGAUAUUAAGCUGUUAUGAUGAGAAUGUGUCUGCAUCACUCUUUACCUUCACCAGCGCCUCGAGUCAGGACACACAGGUGUCCUUUAGUUUUGAGUGCUGAUCCAGAAUCGUACUGAUAAAAAUAAUCAGUCACCUACGUAAAAAAACAAAGGUAAAGAAGCAGGCAAGAUACAGACUGCCAUGGAAAACGCAGACUGAGAUUUCUACACAAGUCUACAGAACUCCUAAAAGUCUUGCUUACACUAAACGUUGGUGCAUGUGGGACAUGUGAGACAACAGGAAGGACGACAUCUUACUGAUAAGACCUGAGUAAUGUGAAAAUUCUCGAAGAUGUUUCCCACCAGAGAGGAUGUAAUACAUCAACAUUCCAGCCAUCUGUAACCACAAGUGACUGUG